This 367-nucleotide ribosomal RNA is filed under the name uncultured eukaryote. Its description in RNAcentral is "SSU rRNA". It matches the Rfam family "Eukaryotic small subunit ribosomal RNA", at positions 587 to 972 of the family's 1831-position model. The record is from RNAcentral.
AGCUCCAAUAGCGUAUAUUAAAAUUGCUGCAGUUAAAGCGUCCGUAGUUGGAUUUCAUCCGAUCAGGUUAGAUGCGUGGGUACUUUUGUGCUCAACGCGCUUUCCGCUUCGGAUUGUGUGAGUAUUGGGCUUGUCCUAAUUCUCUCCCGUUACUUUGAGCAAAUUGGAGUGCUCCAACCAAGCCGAUGCUUGAACAGCUCAGCAUGGAAUAACAAGAUAGGACUUUGGUUCUUCUUGCUGGUGUCAUGGACCAAUAGUAAUGGUUGAUAAGGACAUACGGGGGCAUUUGUACUUGCUGGAGAGAGGUGAAAUUCUAAGACCCAGCAAAGACAAACAAGUGCGAAAGCAUUUGCCCAGUGUGUACCUG